UACGUAGGGGGCAAGCGUUGUCCGGAUUUAUUGGGCGUAAAGAGCGUGUAGGCGGCCAUGUAGGUCCGUUGUGAAAACUCGAGGCUCAACCUCGAGACGCCGAUGGAAACCAUUUGGCUAGAGUCCGGAAGAGGAGAGUGGAAUUCCCGGUGUAGCGGUGAAAUUCGUAGAUAUUGGGAAGAACACCGGUGGCGAAGGCGGCGACCUGGUCCGAUACUGACGCUGAGGCGCGAAAGCGUGGGGAGCAAACAGG
Molecule: ribosomal RNA, 253 nt
Filed under: uncultured bacterium
Lineage: Bacteria
Description: partial 16S ribosomal RNA
Rfam family: Bacterial small subunit ribosomal RNA
Source: RNAcentral